UUCGGAUAUUGGUCCCUCAACAUGCAAUAAUGCUGAGAAUGUUUUCCGACUUGCAUAGCGACCACAAAUAUCCUAGAAUAAAGGUCAGGAACUCUGUGCAAUGACAUUGAAGCUUGUGACAUUGCAUCGUUCUUCCUGCGACACUU
Drosophila kikkawai is the source of this 146-nucleotide non-coding RNA. The record is from RefSeq and is a predicted model, not a curated record. NCBI's taxonomy places the organism in Eukaryota, Metazoa, Arthropoda, Insecta, Diptera, Drosophilidae.